Molecule: ribosomal RNA, 357 nt
Filed under: Triticum aestivum (bread wheat)
Lineage: Eukaryota; Viridiplantae; Streptophyta; Magnoliopsida; Poales; Poaceae
Description: partial small subunit ribosomal RNA
Source: RNAcentral
AUGUGCAAUCAAAAUACACUAGACAGUUUGGCAUCAGGUUUAAUGCUAUAUUGCCUUUUUCUUGUUAAGUAUAAGUACUAUAGUUGGCAACUGAGCUUCUUUCUUAUAUUGUGUAUUGAUGUUCUGUUACGCAAGACACAAAACGAUUGGUUGGAGCUGUUGGAGGAUGCUGAAAUUGCGUAUGCAAGACCUUGCGGUUCUUGUCUUGUCCUGGAACAUUUCUUUUUAGAUGAAAGGCAUAUAGAAUGGCUUUAUAUAAAUAAUCUUGUCCUGGAACAUUUCUUUUUAGAUGAAAGGCAUAUAGAAUGGCUUUAUCUGUAUCUCUACUUCUCUACUUUUUAUUUAAAAAGAAUGUAA